This 30-nucleotide non-coding RNA is filed under the name Mus musculus (house mouse). Lineage: Eukaryota; Metazoa; Chordata; Mammalia; Rodentia; Muridae. The record is from RNAcentral.
AUCUUGUGUUGAGACUUCGUGGUGGUAGGA